RNAcentral lists this ribosomal RNA (235 nucleotides) under uncultured bacterium. Its description in RNAcentral is "partial 16S ribosomal RNA". It matches the Rfam family "Bacterial small subunit ribosomal RNA", at positions 253 to 504 of the family's 1533-position model. The record is from RNAcentral.
UGGGGUAACGGCCUACCAAGUCGACGAUCAGUAGCCGGACUGAGAGGUUGAACGGCCACAUUGGGACUGAGAUACGGCCCAGACUCCUACGGGAGGCAGCAGUCGGGAAUAUUGCGCAAUGGAGGGAACUCUGACGCAGUGACGCCGCGUAUAGGAAGAAGGUUUUCGGAUUGUAAACUAUUGUCGUUAGGGAAGAGAAAGGACAGUACCUAAGGAGGAAGCUCCGGCUAACUAC